Molecule: long non-coding RNA, 2783 nt
Filed under: Homo sapiens (human)
Lineage: Eukaryota; Metazoa; Chordata; Mammalia; Primates; Hominidae
Description: non-protein coding lnc-PCNX1-2:15
Source: RNAcentral
ACUCUCACCCGGAACCUUUCAUCUCUUAUUGAAGCCUUUUAGGCCCAUUGGGAUGUUCAUUAGAACUCUGAAAACUACAGUUCUCCCCUUUAUGAGGACUGCACCACAGCUCGCCCUCUCCUGGGUUCCGGUAAGAAGAGAUUCCAAUACCACUCUUUUUUCAGAAUUCAGAAAGGCAAGAGACCACCUUACUGAGCUUCAAACUGGGGCUGGGAACGCUGCCAUGAAUUGGGCUUGGUCUGUCUGAAGGGAGCCACCUUUUCGACAAUCCUUAGACUUCUUUUGCCUGUUGGAAUUACACCUUGGAUCGUGGCGAAGUCUAUAGAGGUCAGAUUAAGAAGAACCAAAGCAGAAUAAACGUAGAACCCGAUGCUGAGUUCACGAGUGAGGACGACCUCUUCCUAUAUGCUUUGCUAUACCCUGCGUUUUGAACAUUAAGGACGAGAUAGGAGGCCCAUAAUGUUUCUUCUUGCUUUAAUCCUGUCGUGGCAACGUUGACUUCCAGUAAGAAAGGUUCUCUGAUCUUUUUUUCUCUUUUCUUUUCUUUUCUUUUCUUUUCCUUUCUUUUCUUUUCUUUUCUUCCAGGGUCUCAGUUUGUUGUCCAGGCCAGAGUGCAGUGGCGCAAUCUCGGCUCACUGCAGCCUCAACAUCCUAGGCUCAAGCCAUCCUCCCACCUCACCCUCCCGAGUAGCUGGAAGUACAGGCUCGUCUUGAACUCUGGGCUGAAGUCAUCCACCUGCCUCGGCCUCCCAAAGUGCUAGGAUUACAGGCCUUAGCCACCUCACCUAGUCCUCUGAAAUUUCUAAAUAAGCCAGUGCUGAAGGAUCUAGCCCAACUUCUACCAAACUUUGUUACCUUUUCCCCUUCAGUGGUAGGAAUAGACAUGAUUUAUUUAGCAAGGCCUGGUUGCAGAGUGAGCCCAUGGGACAGCCCUCUGAAAUUAUACUGCUUACAACCAUGCUGAGUCUGCAAGGACUUCGUCCAAGCCUUUCCGUCCAGGACCUCAAACAGAUCCAAUCACAAGAAGAGAGAUUUCAGGAAAGAGAAAAUUAUUCCUAUCAUCGGGGUUUUUGAAGAACAUGAAAUGACUGGGAAAAUAAUCAUGUUAAGUGGAAAAAAAAAAGAAAUCUAUCUGUUGUAAUUUUCAAAUAAUUUUUAAAUAAAUUUGAAAAAUUAAGAGAACUAUAUAUAUAAUACAUUCCUAAUCUUGUGAAAAAUAUAUAUGCAUUAAUAUUAUUGAAAGAAAUAUAUCAAAAGGUGAACAGCAAUUAUCACCAAUCUAGAUUAUGAGAUUAGGAGUGAUUUUUUUUCUUUGUCCUAUACUAUUUAAUAUUUUCUACCAUUAAAAUAUUCUGAUUUUCUAAUUAGAAUAGUACGUUAGACAAAGAAGGACAAAUAUCACAUGAACUCUCACUCUCUUAUGGAACAGAUCUUGUGGAAUCUAAAAAAGUUGAACUCAUAGAAAAAGAGGAAAAUGAUGGUUACCAGUUAGAAAAAAGGAAUAAGUUCAAGAGAUCUAUUGUACACCAUGGUCAAUAUAGUUAACAAUAUAUUUUAUACUUUAAAAUUGCUAAGGUAGUAGAUUUUAAGUGUUCUCACCACACAAAAAAAUAAGUAUGUGAAAAGCAUAUGGUAAUUAGCUUGAUUUAACCACGCCACAGUGCAUACAUAUGUCAAAACAUCAUGUUGUAUACUAUAAAUAUAUACACUUUUUGUCAAUUUUAAACAGGUUAUAAAAAAACAUGUUAUUGUUGAUAAUUAUGAAAAAUUUUAAUGAUGUGGAAAUGUGUACAGUAUAAUGAUAAAUGAAAGAGUAGUAAAAAUCCUUAUAAAAUAUAAUUACAAAUGUGUUGGGUGGAUAAUAUAAAAAUCUUAACAGCUAUUUCUGAGCUAAGUGGUGGAGCAUGGGUAAUUUUUAGUGCCUUCUGUGUCAGGCUGUUCUUGCAUUGCUAUGAAGAAAUACCUGGCCAGGCGCGGUGGCUCACGCCUAUAAUCCCGGCACUUUGGGAGGCCAAGGCGGGUGGAUCACCUGAGGUCAGGAGUUCGAGACCAGCCUGGCCAACAUGGUGAAACCCCGUCUCUACUAAAAAUACAAAAAUUAGCCAGGUAAGGUGGUGCGUGCCUGUAGUUCCAGCUGCUGGGGAGGCUGAGGCAGGAGAAUCGUUUGAACCCAGGAGGCGGAGGUUGCAGUGAGCUGAGAUAGCCUGGGUAACAGACCAAGACUCUGUCUCAAAAAAAAUAAAAAUAAAAAUAAAAAAGAAAUACCUGAGAAAAGGUAAUUUAUAAAGGAAAGAGGUUUAAUUGGCUUGCGAUUCUUCAAGUUUUACAUGAAGCAUGGCAGCAUCUGAUUUUAGGGAGGCCUCAGGAAGCUUCCAAUCCUGGCAUAAAGCAACGAGGAGCAGGUACGUCACAUGGCGAAAGCAGUAACAAGAGAGAGAGUAACGGGGGAGGUGCCACACCCUUUUAAACAAUCACAUCUCAUGAGAACUCACUAUCCUGAAGACAGCACCAAGGGGAUAGUGCUAAACCAUGCAUGAAAAAUCCGCCCCCAUGAUCCAAUCGCCUCCCACCAGGCCCCACCUCCCACAUUGGGGAUUACAAUUCAACAAGAGAUUGGGGCGGGGACAGACGGCCAAACUAUGUCACCUUCAUUUUACUUUUCUUUUUCCUACAGCAAAAAUAACCAUGUGAUAUUUGUGUAAUUGUAAUAAAGAACUACAAAAUCACUUUUAUCUUUUUAAAUACAAAAUUCAAACUAAAAUCAUUAUUGUUAGUUGGAGAGA